RNAcentral lists this ribosomal RNA (1146 nucleotides) under uncultured bacterium. RNAcentral's name for it is "bacterial SSU rRNA". It matches the Rfam family "Bacterial small subunit ribosomal RNA", at positions 37 to 1173 of the family's 1533-position model. The record is from RNAcentral.
UAGCUACAGGCUUAACACAUGCAAGUCGAGGGGAAACGACAUCGAAAGCUUGCUUUUGAUGGGCGUCGACCGGCGCACGGGUGAGUAACGCGUAUCCAACCUGCCCACCACUUGGGGAUAACCUUGCGAAAGUAAGACUAAUACCCAAUGACGUCUCUAGAAGACAUCUGAAAGAGAUUAAAGAUUUAUCGGUGAUGGAUGGGGAUGCGUCUGAUUAGCUUGUUGGCGGGGUAACGGCCCACCAAGGCGACGAUCAGUAGGGGUUCUGAGAGGAAGGUCCCCCACAUUGGAACUGAGACACGGUCCAAACUCCUACGGGAGGCAGCAGUGAGGAAUAUUGGUCAAUGGACGAGAGUCUGAACCAGCCAAGUAGCGUGCAGGAUGACGGCCCUAUGGGUUGUAAACUGCUUUUAUAAGGGAAUAAAGUGAGUCUCGUGAGACUUUUUGCAUGUACCUUAUGAAUAAGGACCGGCUAAUUCCGUGCCAGCAGCCGCGGUAAUACGGAAGGUCCCGGGCGUUAUCCGGAUUUAUUGGGUUUAAAGGGAGCGUAGGCCGGAAAUUAAGCGUGUUGUGAAAUGUAGACGCUCAACGUCUGCACUGCAGCGCGAACUGGUUUCCUUGAGUACGCACAAAGUGGGCGGAAUUCGUGGUGUAGCGGUGAAAUGCUUAGAUAUCACGAAGAACUCCGAUUGCGAAGGCAGCUCACUGGAGCGCAACUGACGCUGAAGCUCGAAAGUGCGGGUAUCGAACAGGAUUAGAUACCCUGGUAGUCCGCACGGUAAACGAUGGAUGCCCGCUGUUGGUCUGAAUAGGUCAGCGGCCAAGCGAAAGCAUUAAGCAUCCCACCUGGGGAGUACGCCGGCAACGGUGAAACUCAAAGGAAUUGACGGGGGCCCGCACAAGCGGAGGAACAUGUGGUUUAAUUCGAUGAUACGCGAGGAACCUUACCCGGGCUUGAAUUGCAGAGGAAGGAUUUGGAGACAAUGACGCCCUUCGGGGCCUCUGUGAAGGUGCUGCAUGGUUGUCGUCAGCUCGUGCCGUGAGGUGUCGGCUUAAGUGCCAUAACGAGCGCAACCCCUCUCCUUAGUUGCCAUCAGGUCAAGCUGGGCACUCUGGGGACACUGCCACCGUAAGGUGUGAGGAAGG